Molecule: transfer RNA, 72 nt
Filed under: Danionella cerebrum
Lineage: Eukaryota; Metazoa; Chordata; Actinopteri; Cypriniformes; Danionidae
Description: tRNA-Met
Source: RNAcentral
AGCAGAGUGGCGCAGCGGAAGCAUGCUGUGUCCAUAACCAAGAGGUCGAAGGAUCAAAACCAUCCUCUGCUA